Molecule: RNA transcript, 6226 nt
Organism: Meriones unguiculatus (Mongolian gerbil)
Lineage: Eukaryota; Metazoa; Chordata; Mammalia; Rodentia; Muridae
Gene: Rbm15
Gene name: RNA binding motif protein 15
Exons: 4
Source: RefSeq, a predicted model, not a curated record
UCGGCCGGACUCGCCGGGACGGCCGCCUGAGGGGAUCGGGAGCCCAACAGCCGGAAGGACCGCCGAGCCCGCCGCCCCGCCCCGCCCGGCCCCUGCGGAGCCCGCACGUUCCAGGCUCGACGGGCCGCAGCGCAGCCCCGCACGCCGCAGGACCCGGCGAGUGUUUGAGAGGGCGCCGAAAGCGCGGGGAGGCGGGCCCGACGCGCCGUCACCGUCCCGCGACAGCUCGGUGACGCCGCCCGGCUCGCGCGUGCUUCGGGCUCCCACCUCCGCGCGGCUCCCUGGACGGGCCCUGCUCCUUUAACUGCGUGACGGGCGGCGCUUCCACCCUAUCACGUCCCUCGUCAACGUCCAAUCAGAUUCAAACUUCCCUCAGCCGCCGGACGAGUUGGAAGACCAGGGUCGAGAGCGAGCGAGCGGGAGAGCGAGCGAGUGAGUGAGCAAGCUCUUGGUCUCUCGCGAGAUCGGGCAGAGCCAAGUUCUCGGGGGGGGGGAGAAAAGAAAAAAACCACGCCAGAACCGAUGUCCAGACUUCCUAAGGAGUGAUUUAAAGGACGUGGCCGUGGACCAAUGAGAGGGAAGAGAAGGUGGGGUCGCCGCCCUCUCCUCGCUAGAAGUACCGUUACAGAGCAGGCUUUUUGUCCAAUCAACGCCUCGAGGCUCUGGGUCAGGUGACCAUGAAGUGCGAGGGGCGGAGCCACGGCCUGGCGCGAGGAACCGUUAAGAUAGACAACGAAUAGAACCAAUGAAGUACUUCGAUUAGGGCGUUGGGAACCCAAUAACAGCGUCGGGGCGGGCGCCUUCCCGUAGCGCGGGGAGAUGUGAAGACGGACAAAUAGUUUUUCCAAUGAGAAAGCUGAAGAGUGAGUUAAUUGACCAAUGAGGUCUGCGGGGCGGGAGCCUCUGCCGCGGCGGAGUCCAAGAUGGCGGCGUGCGAGUCCGCUGUGUGAAACGAGCGCGGGGUGGCGGGUUAGUCAGCUCCGCAGAGACGACCUCCGGCGACCCUCGACAAUGAAAGGAAAGGAGCGCUCGCCAGUCAAGCCCAAACGCUCCCGAGGUGGUGAGGACUCCGGUUCUCGUGGGGAACGGAGCAAGAAGUUGGGGGGCUCAGGCGGCAGCAAUGGGAGCAGCAGCGGGAAGACGGACAGCGGCGGGUCGCGGCGGAGCCUUCAUCUGGACAAGUCCAGCAGCCGAGGGGGCAGCCGCGAGUAUGACACUGGCGGGGGCAGCUCCAGUAGCCGCUUGCAUAGUUACAGCUCCCCAAGCACCAAAAAUUCCUCAGGCGGGGGCGAGUCGCGCAGCAGCUCCCGGGGUGGAGGCGGGGAGUCACGUUCCUCUGGGGCCGCCUCCUCAGCGCCUGGCGGCGGGGACGGCGUGGAGUACAAGACCCUGAAGAUCAGCGAACUGGGGUCCCAGCUGAGCGACGAGGCGGUGGAGGACGGGCUGUUCCACGAGUUCAAACGCUUCGGUGAUGUAAGUGUCAAGAUCAGUCAUCUCUCGGGUUCUGGCAGCGGGGAUGAGCGGGUAGCCUUUGUGAACUUCCGGAGGCCAGAGGACGCGAGGGCGGCCAAGCAUGCCAGAGGCCGCCUGGUGCUCUAUGACCGGCCUCUGAAGAUAGAAGCCGUGUAUGUGAGCCGGCGCCGCAGCCGCUCCCCGUUAGACAAAGAUACUUACCCUCCGUCGUCCAGCGUGGUCGGGACCUCUGUGGGCAGCCACAGGCACGCCCCUGGAGGUGGAGGUCAGAGAUCGCUUUCUCCUGGCGGUGCUGCUUUGGGAUACAGAGACUACCGGUUGCAGCAGUUGGCUCUUGGCCGCCUGCCUCCUCCACCCCCGCCACCAUUGCCCCGAGAGCUGGAACGGGAACGAGACUAUCCGUUCUAUGACAGAGUGCGCCCAGCUUACAGCCUUGAGCCGAGGGUGGGAGCGGGAGCAGGUGCUGCUCCUUUCCGAGAAGUGGAUGAGAUAUCACCUGAGGAUGAUCAGCGUGCCAACCGGACACUUUUCUUGGGCAACUUAGAUAUCACUGUGACAGAAAAUGAUCUCAGAAGGGCUUUUGAUCGUUUUGGAGUCAUCACAGAAGUGGACAUUAAGAGGCCUUCUCGUGGCCAGACCAGUACCUAUGGUUUUCUCAAAUUCGAGAAUCUGGACAUGUCUCACAGGGCCAAACUAGCAAUGUCUGGCAAAAUUAUAAUUCGGAAUCCAAUCAAGAUUGGUUAUGGUAAAGCCACACCCACUACCCGACUAUGGGUGGGUGGCCUGGGACCUUGGGUGCCUCUUGCUGCCCUGGCACGAGAAUUUGACCGAUUUGGCACCAUUCGAACCAUAGACUACCGAAAAGGUGACAGUUGGGCAUAUAUACAGUAUGAAAGCUUGGAUGCAGCUCAUGCUGCCUGGACUCAUAUGCGUGGAUUCCCACUUGGCGGCCCAGAUCGUCGCCUUAGAGUGGACUUUGCAGACACAGAACAUCGUUACCAGCAGCAAUAUCUUCAGCCUCUGCCUUUGACUCAUUAUGAACUAGUGACAGAUACUUUUGGACAUCGAGCACCUGACCCUUUGAGGAGUGCUCGCGAUAGGACACCACCCUUACUAUACAGAGAUCGUGAUAGAGACCUUUAUCCUGAUUCUGAUUGGGUGCCACCCCCACCACCAGUUCGAGAACGCAGUACUCGUGCUGCAGCUAGUGCUGUGACUGCUUAUGAGCCACUGGAUAGCUUGGAUCGAAGGAGGGAUGGCUGGUCGUUGGACAGGGACAGAGGUGAUCGAGAUUUGCCCAGCAGCAGGGACCAGCCAAGGAAGCGAAGGCUGCCUGAGGAAAGUGGAGGACGGCAUCUGGAUAGAUCACCUGAGAGUGACCGGCCUCGAAAACGUCACUGCACUCCUUCUCCUGACCGAAGUCCAGAACUGAGCAGUAACAGAGAUCGCUACAACAGUGACAAUGAUCGAUCAUCUCGUCUUCUUCUCUUGGAACGGUCCUCUCCAGUCAGAGAUAGACGGGGAAGUUUGGAGAAGAGCCAGAGUGACAAACGAGACCGUAAAAACUCUGCAUCAGCUGAACGGGACAGGAAGCACCGGACAGCUGCUCCCACAGAGGGAAAAAACACUCUGAAAAAGGAAGACCGAUCUGAUGGCAAUGCACCCAGUGCCAGCACUUCUUCAUCAAAGCAAAAGCCACCUUCCCAGAAACAGGAUGGAGGGACAGCUCCUGUGGCAGCAUCCUCUCCCAAACUCUGUUUGGCUUGGCAGGGCAUGCUUCUCCUGAAGAACAGCAACUUCGCUUCCAACAUGCAUCUAUUGCAGGGUGACCUCCAAGUUGCUAGCAGUCUACUUGUGGAGGGUUCAACUGGAGGCAAAGUAGCCCAGCUCAAGAUCACUCAGCGGCUCCGUUUGGACCAGCCCAAAUUGGAUGAAGUAACUCGACGCAUCAAAGUGGCAGGGCCUAAUGGUUAUGCCAUUCUUCUGGCUGUACCUGGAAGUUCUGACAGCCGAUCCUCCUCUUCCUCAGCCACAUCAGACACUGCCACCUCUACUCAGAGGCCACUUAGGAACCUUGUGUCCUAUUUAAAGCAAAAGCAGGCAGCUGGGGUGAUCAGCCUCCCUGUGGGAGGCAACAAAGACAAGGAAAACACCGGGGUUCUUCAUGCCUUCCCACCUUGUGAGUUCUCUCAGCAGUUCCUGGAUUCUUCUGCCAAGGCACUGGCCAAAUCUGAAGAAGAUUACCUGGUCAUGAUCAUUGUCCGUGCAAAACUGGUGAACAGCGGAUGAAGAUACCGAAUUCAAAGCUCUAAUGGACCUUUUUGAAGAGAAGUUGUGGCUUAUGUGGAGUUUACAUGGGCCUCUGAUGGAAGAAAGCUAAUCUGUUUAGUAUUUUGUGCAUUUUACUAAAAUGGCAGCUUAACAUUGUGUAUCUGCUAUUGUGAUGCCAAUGCCGGUGUUUUAAGUGGAAAAAAAAUGACCUCUUUGCUUUGUGCUGUGUACACAAGAUUUCUGGAAAAGUAAAGAAAAACCCUUUUUAUGGCUCACACAGCUUAAAAGUAGCUGUCACUCAAACAUGGGCUCACAGUUGAGCGGCUUUUGUUUUAUUCUAAAUAAAUUGUUUCUUUUGAGGAAAAUGUUUUUCUGCCUGGAAGUGAAUUGACGGCAAACCUUGACCCCUUUGUUUGCAGCGGAGGGGGUACUUGCUGCUGCUCAGAUCUUGUAUGUCCUGAGCAAGAAGCAGGGAGACCAUCAAUUUCGUUUUGACUAUCACGGUGUGUCAAUUCUGAAGGAUCAUAGUGUUACAGUGACCCCCUUUGUUUGCAGUGAAGGGGAUUGUUUGCUUCUGGUCCUCAACAGGAUGAGGGUGCUGUUUGCUGGCGUGCAAGAAGCCGGGCAAGCACUCUAAGCCUCACCACGGUGCACGAGUCGGGGGCUUUGCUGGUUUGAAGAGCCGGAGUUCCUGAAAUAUAAGUUUUGAUUUAUUUUGUUCACCCAUCACGUUUGGCUUUAGUUUCAUUUUUUAAUUUGAAGAAAAGUUUGAAAUUGCAUUAUCUUGCACUUAACAUUUGCACCAAAUUGCCAAAAGAAGGAGAAAUGCUCCGGUUGCUUUUUAAAUGUUAAUGAUGAUGUUAAUAAAGCCUUUCCUGACACAUUUGAGGAGCUCCUCCGUCUCCAGGGGCUUCUUACCAGAGUUAUGCAGUGAUGGGUUUAGUUCUGAAUGGAUGAAGAGUUCCUGAGAGCUAGCGUUUGUAAUUAGAACCGUUACUUGGUUUCUGUGCCUUAUUUGACCUGUGGUUCCACAUGCCUUGGAUGUGCAUGCACCGUGACGGUUUCAUAGGUUCGAACGCACACUCAGGCCCAGUCACUUCGGUUGGUAGUACAGAUUGUGAGGAAAAAAAAUGGAGGAGGCAUCCUUAAAGAGGAUUUUGUUUGCCUUUAGUUCCUGCAUUAUCCUGUACAGGGGCUCUUGAGCUUUGGAAGCCUGUUCCCAGUACAGGAGAAAAACUUUCCUGUUUGCAGCAGGAUACUUCAGUGCACAGUGACAACGCUGGAGUUCAAGAGGAAGCCAGCAGUUCUGCACCUUUGGCUUCAGACACCAUGGUUGUUUGCCAGUUUUAAACUUAAUAGUUGCAGACGAAGACCACCUUGACAUGCAGUCUUGUUGGGCUUGUUUUGAAUUUUAACCUCGGAUGGAAGAGCCCUAGUGCUGUCUUAUCUCCAUGCGGGAUGAUGAUUGCUAGGCAACAGGUGAUUAUCAACCAAGGAUGCCACGGUUAUACUCUGCAAGGUGGUGUUCCAGUGGUAAACAGCUGUAUAAACUUGUAAACAGGAACUACUGGCAAAACCUAUAUCUGACUUUUGGAUAUGGCUUUAUUACUCAACAAGUAAAAGAGGAGUUCUAAUUGCCAGACUUCUGGCACUGACAUUGUCCUCCUGUUUCUGUAGAAACUGGGUUGGAAGUCAGAGCUGCACAGAGGGAAAGGGAAUUUCAGCUUUUCGUUUGGUAAUAGAGAUGGGUAAGUAAAAUUGAGAAUCUCUUACAGCUCUGAAGAUUACCUAUAAACAUCUAGAUUUAAAGGUGAACACAGUCACAUAAUUUCCCAUAUCCUUAAUAAUCAAGUAAUGUUUUUUAUUUUGAUUUUCAAGCACUAGGAAUUGACGUUAGGGCCUCACAUGUGUAAGGCAGGUGGUCCACCACUGAGCUGUAUCUCCAUUCCAAAGAACUGAGUUACUCUGAAAGCCAACAUGUAGUGCUUCUUUGGUAGUUAGAACUUGGGAAGAGAUCCAUUGGUCUUUAUAAAGUUCUCUUUAUCGUUUUAUAAAGAGGAACGAGUUACAGAAACAAGGGCUUCCCUGAAGCCUCUCCCUUUAACAAGAUGCUUAACCACAUAACACCACUCUCAGUGAAAUGUCCUUAGUUGUGCCUUACCAUAAUCUUGAGACAUUGUAAGCAACUAACUCCUAGACUUAAAAUCUAUGUGGGCUUUUAGCAGUAGCCUAAUCACUACCUUUGACUUAUUAGAACUUAGAAAAUUUAUGACUGCCCAAGUAAAAUGCUUAGGAUUAGUGGAUACAAGUAUUUAUCAGGAGCUUCAUAUUUAUCCUUACAUAUAGUUCUAAGUAUUGUAGACUUUGGGUAAGAAAAGGCUAUAAACAUUUUUCUUCUGGUUGAUUAGAAACAAAUAUAUUUUAUAAUGCGUUAGGUGUGUGCAUGAAAUAAAAGUUUGACAAUAAAAUGAUUAUUUUCUAA